GAUGAAGAACGCAACGAAAUGCGAUAAGUAAUGUGAAUUGCAGAAUUCAGUGAAUCAUCGAAUCUUUGAACGCACAUUGCGCCCGCCAGUAUUCUGGCGGGCAUGCCUGUUCGAGCGUCAUUUCAACCAUCAAGCCCCCGGCUUGUGUUGGGGACCUGCGGCUGCCGCAGGCCCUGAAAAGCAGUGGCGGGCUCGCUGUCACACCGAGCGUAGUAGCAUACAUCUCGCUCUGGGCGUGCUGCGGGUUCCGGCCGUUAAACCACCUUCAUAACCCAAGGUUGACCUCGGAUCAGGUAGGAAGACCCGCUGAACUUAAGCAUAUCAAUAAGCGGAGGA
This 336-nucleotide unclassified non-coding RNA is filed under the name soil metagenome. RNAcentral describes it as "partial contains 5.8S ribosomal RNA, internal transcribed spacer 2, and large subunit ribosomal RNA". The stretch from base 1 to 120 matches the Rfam family "5.8S ribosomal RNA", at positions 35 to 154 of the family's 154-position model. The record is from RNAcentral.